UCUCUCUCUCUCUCUCUCUACGGUGCUAUAAUGUUGAUCUAGAAACGCCAAUAUUUUUGAAGGACUUGUUACCAAUUUGUAAAUUGACAUCCACAAAUUUUAAUAAAGAAAUUUGAUAGUUUGAUAUGAACAAAUGCUAUACAGAUUUGUUCAUAUUUCUGUCUGUAUAGCAUUCGAUUGGCAUUUGAUAGUGUUCAGAAACAUGAACAAAUCUGAACACUACAAUAAAUGAAAUAGAAUAUCCGGAGGAUGGGCAUAAUCAGUUGGGGCACAUCUCUUCUUUCCUUUUUCCCCUUGAAAUAUGAAAAGGUUCAAGGGACUACAAAGCUGUCCAAAUUACUUGAGUUCAUUAGGAAAUGCAGAGGUGAAGCAUCAGGAUACUUGCUGUAUCGGUUUCUUGCCAGCGACUUCAGUGUACCAUGAU
RNAcentral lists this unclassified non-coding RNA (424 nucleotides) under Hevea brasiliensis (rubber tree). Lineage: Eukaryota; Viridiplantae; Streptophyta; Magnoliopsida; Malpighiales; Euphorbiaceae. The record is from RNAcentral.